GAUGAACGCUGGCGGCGUGCCUAAUACAUGCAAGUCGAGCGAACAGACGAGGAGCUUGCUCCUCUGACGUUAGCGGCGGACGGGUUAGUAACACGUGGAUAACCUACCUAUAAGACUGGGAUAACUUCGGGAAACCGGAGCUAAUACCGGAUAAUAUAUUGAACCGCAUGGUUCAAUAGUGAAAGACGGUUUUGCUGUCACUUAUAGAUGGAUCCGCGCCGGAUUAGCUAGUUGGUAAGGUAACGGCUUACCAAGGCAACGAUGCGUAGCCGACCUGAGAGGAUGAUCGGCCACACUGGAACUGAGACACGGUCCAGACUCCUACGGGAGGCAGCAGUGGGGAAUCUUGCGCAAUGGGCGAAAGCCUGACGGAGCAACGCCGCGUGAGUGAUGAAGGUCUUCGGAUCGUAAAACUCUGUUAUUAGGGAAGAACAAAUGUGUAAGUAACUAUGCACGUCUUGACGGUACCUAAACAGAAAGCCACGGCUAACUACGUG
This 497-nucleotide ribosomal RNA is filed under the name uncultured bacterium. Its description in RNAcentral is "partial 16S ribosomal RNA". It matches the Rfam family "Bacterial small subunit ribosomal RNA", at positions 28 to 507 of the family's 1533-position model. The record is from RNAcentral.